Molecule: long non-coding RNA, 693 nt
Filed under: Bemisia tabaci
Lineage: Eukaryota; Metazoa; Arthropoda; Insecta; Hemiptera; Aleyrodidae
Description: lncRNA ENSSSA1NGG005132
Source: RNAcentral
UCCUCUAUCGAAGAUCUGGAGGUCUCUGAAUGGAAAGUAAUCGAUGUCUAACGAAAGAGGUUCGUUCAAUAUUACCACCACUGCCCGGAACCCUACGUCGAAAUCAUCUUUUCUUACACAGUGAAAAAAGAGUCUCCGGCCUUCUUCUACACUAUCAUCUUUCCAGCCAUAGUUGGGUUUUACUCGACCGUGUUGGGCUUGAUGGGCGUAUCUCUGCGGGGAUCUUCAUCGCCAUGGACAAUCUACGGAAACAGGAAUCUCAUCCAAAGCCAAUCUCACGGCUCCUCAGUUCCAUAACUAAUAUUAGGCUUGGACAAAACUUCUUAAAACCUUCUCCUUAUUCAACAUUAUUGGAUCCUGACGAUAGGAGUAAGUUUGGAGGCAUUAAAACGCCCAGUGGUAGUGCAACAGGGAUGCCAUCGAUGAUCUCAAACGAAAACCUGAUCGGGAAGAAAGGAAAGUCACAACCUUAUCCACUUUCCGCAAACCGAACUUUCUUAAAACCGAGCUCCAAUGAAUGGCGUUCCCUGGCUACGUUAUUUCAUAAAAUCUCUCAUUGCGCACAUUCUCAUGUACCUCAUCAUUUUGAUAAAGUGUUUUUACUAAAAGAAGAAAAAACAAACAAUUCAUGUUUUUUAUUUUCUGUUCUUUUACUUUGAUCCACCUACUCUUCAAAGGGAUCAGGGCAUAGAC